UGUUGUGUGCAGUCCCAGCAUUUUAACAGUUGCUCCGCCUCCCUAAAUGUCGGAGGAACUGUGAAUACUCAUUAAUUUUGCACCACCUCAUGAUCAAGUGGACCAAUUCUGUUCAGUUAUGGAAUAAUAUGAAAAUAAGUUGGUUACAUUUUUUGAAAAUCAUUCGCUUGUCAUUGGAUAAAAUAGAUGUUGGAACUAUAAAAUUUGAUAUAAAUAUACUUGAAGAAUUUCUAAUCUGAUAAUCACUCUGUGUGUCGCUUCUCCUGAAUCUUUGUGUAUGACCUGCGGAUAGCAUUGCUGAGGGAAUAAAGCUAAAAUGGCUUACAGUUUUAACAGUUCUACAAUUAAGAACGAGACUGAUAGAGAGGUUACUCUAAGAUGCCGGCUUAACGGAUUCACCCCUGCAAAUGAUCACGCAGAUGCUGAAGUUAUUGACAAGUAAGUUAAAUGCACCAGUACUUUAUCUAUUUAUUC
Mercenaria mercenaria is the source of this 474-nucleotide long non-coding RNA. RefSeq lists it as uncharacterized. The record is from RefSeq and is a predicted model, not a curated record. NCBI's taxonomy places the organism in Eukaryota, Metazoa, Mollusca, Bivalvia, Venerida, Veneridae. The transcript is spliced from 3 exons.